Molecule: transfer RNA, 72 nt
Filed under: Ovis aries (sheep)
Lineage: Eukaryota; Metazoa; Chordata; Mammalia; Artiodactyla; Bovidae
Rfam family: tRNA
About the family: Transfer RNA (tRNA) molecules are approximately 80 nucleotides in length.
Source: Rfam by way of RNAcentral
UCCCUGGUGGCUCAGAUGGUAAAGCAUCUGCUUACAAUGCUGGAGACCCGGGUUCGAUUCCUGGGUUGGGAA